Molecule: ribosomal RNA, 465 nt
Filed under: uncultured bacterium
Lineage: Bacteria
Description: partial 16S ribosomal RNA
Rfam family: Bacterial small subunit ribosomal RNA
Source: RNAcentral
CUACGGGUUGCUGCAGUGAGGAAUUUUGCGCAAUGGGGGAAACCCUGACGCAGCAACGCCGCGUGAGUGAUGAAGGCCUUCGGGUCGUAAAGCUCUGUCAGGUGGGAAGAAACGUCUGAGGGUGAAUAGUCCUCGGGCCUGACGGUACCACCAGAGGAAGCACCGGCCAACUCCGUGCCAGCAGCCGCGGUAAUACGGAGGGUGCAAGCGUUGUUCGGAAUCAUUGGGCGUAAAGGGCGCGUAGGCGGCCCUGCCAGUCGGGUGUGAAAGCCCUGGGCUCAACCCAGGAAGUGCAUCCGAAACUGUAGGGCUUGAGUACGGGAGAGGGAAGUGGAAUUCCUGGUGUAGGGGUGAAAUCCGUAGAUAUCAGGAGGAACACCGGUGGCGAAGGCGACUUCCUGGACCGAUACUGACGCUGAGGCGCGAAAGCGUGGGGAGCAAACAGGAUUAGAUACCCCGGUAGUC